GUGAAUCAUCGAAUUUUUGAACGCAAAUUGCACUCUUUGGUAUUCCGGAGAGUAUGCCUGUUUGAGGGUCAGUUAAAUAAAAAUCGGUGUGUUUGCUGCUUUUCGUGGUGACGCACCGGAUUUGCUUCGCCUUGCCUUCGGUUCCGUGACCUAUAAUUUUGCAUGAUUUUUUCUAACGUAUUUACAUGAUUUUACGUACGCUUCUGAUAUCGAAUACUAGGUUUGGUUAUCCUCAUGAUUUGCGCC
Molecule: unclassified non-coding RNA, 246 nt
Filed under: Glomeraceae sp.
Lineage: Eukaryota; Fungi; Glomeromycota; Glomeromycetes; Glomerales; Glomeraceae
Description: partial contains 5.8S ribosomal RNA and internal transcribed spacer 2
Rfam family: 5.8S ribosomal RNA (bases 1-71)
Source: RNAcentral